RNAcentral lists this ribosomal RNA (440 nucleotides) under uncultured bacterium. RNAcentral describes it as "partial 16S ribosomal RNA". It matches the Rfam family "Bacterial small subunit ribosomal RNA", at positions 338 to 795 of the family's 1533-position model. The record is from RNAcentral.
CCUACGGGAGGCAGCAGUAGGGAAUAUUGCUCAAUGGGGGAAACCCUGAAGCAGCAACGCCGCGUGGAGGAUGAAGGUUUUCGGAUUGUAAACCUCUUUUGUUAGAGAAGAUAAUGACGGUAUCUAACGAAUAAGCACCGGCUAACUCCGUGCCAGCAGCCGCGGUAAUACGGAGGGUGCAAGCGUUAUUCGGAAUCACUGGGCGUAAAGAGCGCGUAGGCGGGAUAGCAAGUCAGAUGUGAAAUGCUAUGGCUUAACCAUAGAACUGCAUUGGAAACUGUUAUUCUAGAGUAUGGGAGAGGUAGGUGGAAUUCUUGGUGUAGGGGUGAAAUGCGUAGAGAUGAAGAGGAAUACUCAUUGCGAAGGCGGCCUGCUGGAACGUAACUGACGCUGAUGCGCGAAAGCGUGGGGAGCAAACAGGAUUAGAUACCCCAGUAGUC